AUGCCGGCGGUGGCCGCCGCGGCGACGGAGUGCCGGCUCAGCGGAAAAGCGGUUGCCAGGCAAGGCAUCAUCGCCGGCAAAGAUCACAAGUGCUUUGUGCGCCUGCACGGCGACCUGAUCAGCUACGUGGCCUGCCGCGACGCCAUCCACCAGAUGCUCGCGCAGACGCCGCUCGUCAGCGAGUUCGACCUCGCCCCCGACAACUGGGACGACUUCCUGCCCCACGAUCUGGCCACGCUCAUCGUGGGCGUGGCUCGGCGCGACGCCGAUGAACAGGGGGGCGUCGCCCUUCGCUACAACGUCCACGUGGACCUCACCAUCUGGGUCAAGAUCGUCUACAGCGAGCACAAGGCGCUGCUCCUUGCCUGUAACCAGCGUGCCGCGCUGACACGGUGCCUGUUCGCGGCGACGCCGACCGACUGCUGUGUGUGCAUGGAGGAUUUCGCGGCGGCGAUAGACGGCGACACCACCGUGAGGCUGCCGUGCUCCCACGCCUUCCACCGCGCCUGCAUUUUGCCGUGGUUUUACAAGGCGUCCACAUGCCCAAAGUGUCGCCAUGGCUUGUCCAUGAGAAAGGAGGCUGGAUAUUGUUUGUUGGUUGCUGCCUAUGAUUCUCAGGCAGCCUACUGA
RNAcentral lists this ribosomal RNA (630 nucleotides) under Triticum aestivum (bread wheat). RNAcentral's name for it is "partial small subunit ribosomal RNA". Lineage: Eukaryota; Viridiplantae; Streptophyta; Magnoliopsida; Poales; Poaceae. The record is from RNAcentral.